CAUUCUUAUAAAUGAAAACAGAGAUGAGAUGUUAUUUCUGACUUGAAGUCCAGGAAAACAUUUACUGGAGGUCGGUCCCUGUCCAGCAGGGGGAGCAGCUUCCUAACACAAACUCGUUUCUGGUCCUGGUUGUAGGUUUAAGCUCUCAUCAUUUCACUAGGAUUCCAAUAGGUCUACAUGUAGAGUCAAGAAAUUUAAUUAGGCGCUAUCCUAAAGAUGAAAGCUUCUCCCGCCUUGGUGACGGUGAUAGUCUUAAUAGUAGGAAGGACAUGCGGACAGUCGGUGACACAGAUGGGAGGCCAAGUGACCACCACAGAAGAGACUUUUCUGACCAUAAACUGCACUUAUACAGCCUCAGGCUACCCUGAGCUUUCCUGGUAUGUCCAGUACCCUGGAAAAGGUCCGCAGCUCCUCCUAAAAGCUGUGAAAGCCAACCAAAGGGAAAUAAGCAAAGGCUUCGAAGCCAUCUAUGAUAAAGAAACCAAAUCCUUCCACUUGAAGAAAGCCUCAGUGCAGGCGUCAGACUCGGCUGUGUACUACUGUGCACUGAGUGACACAGUGGCAGGAACUGCAGGGGGAGCUGAGCACAAACUCUGAGCAGGACCAGGAGCC
Non-coding RNA from Cavia porcellus (domestic guinea pig), 612 nucleotides. The record is from the annotation of a RefSeq genome assembly. Lineage: Eukaryota; Metazoa; Chordata; Mammalia; Rodentia; Caviidae.